CCCAGGAGUUUGAGGCUGCAUACCAGACAACAGCCUAACCCCAACUAAGGUAAACUCUGCCACCAAACAUGCCUGGGAAUGGAGAAGGGUCUGCAGAUGAGAACCCCUUCUGGUUCUAUGAUUCAAAUCUUCAUUCACUCAAAGCAGGUAAAUAGGAAAUUUCAACAGCUUCCUCUCCUCCCUCUCAUUCCUUUCUUCUGUCAUCGAUCUGAUCAGGAAUGCUCUGAGGCAUUCCCUGGUUAUUUUUUCUUUACCUCUCAAAAUCCACAUGGUAUGUUACACUAAUGCCCAGCAUGUUCCUCAGAUCUCUAGAUGGCUCUAAUUAAAGGACCACCCCUUCUUCUGAAUACAGACCUGGGGUUAGAGGACAUAAGAGCUUGAAGGGCUCUUUAAAAGUCAAGUAGUAUCAUUUUACAGACCAACAACCUAAAAAACAGAAAAGUAAAAUGACUUGUCCAAGGUCACAUGGCUUAAUGGAUUUGUGGGCAUUCAUGAACACCCUGUAAUUACACAUAAAAUUUGGAUUAUAUGAGCCCAUGUGUAUUUUUUCUGAAGAGAAAAUCCGUAUCUUUCUUCAAAGAAGUCAACAAUCUCUUCCCCAAAAUAUAGUAACCACUGACAAUUAUAUGCAUAUUUGAAAAAAAGUUUAACUAAAAUUUAAUGUUCCAAGUCUGAAUAGUAAUAUGAAUUGGUGAUCUAGAAUAAGAGUGGAACCUAAUUUAAUAACUGUCAUUGUUAUCAUCUUUUUUUCUUUUCAUGUCUGGGAUAUCAAUGCAAGUAACAUGGGAUAAAGACAAUUUGAUGUGGAAGUAAACUAUAAAGCAAGAUUUUUGUUUUGUUUUGUUUU
This 847-nucleotide long non-coding RNA is filed under the name Homo sapiens (human). RNAcentral describes it as "HSALNT0354180". Lineage: Eukaryota; Metazoa; Chordata; Mammalia; Primates; Hominidae. The record is from RNAcentral.